This 468-nucleotide ribosomal RNA is filed under the name uncultured bacterium. RNAcentral's name for it is "partial 16S ribosomal RNA". It matches the Rfam family "Bacterial small subunit ribosomal RNA", at positions 28 to 507 of the family's 1533-position model. The record is from RNAcentral.
GACGAACGCUGGCGGCGUGCUUAACACAUGCAAGUCGAACGGAAAGGCCCUGCUUUUGUGGGGUGCUCGAGUGGCGAACGGGUGAGUAACACGUGAGUAACCUGCCCUUGACUUUGGGAUAACUUCAGGAAACUGGGGCUAAUACCGGAUAGGAGCUCCUGCUGCAUGGUGGGGGUUGGAAAGUUUCGGCGGUUGGGGAUGGACUCGCGGCUUAUCAGCUUGUUGGUGGGGUAGUGGCUUACCAAGGCUUUGGCGGGUAGCCGGCCUGAGAGGGUGACCGGCCACAUUGGGACUGAGAUACGGCCCAGACUCCUACGGGAGGCAGCAGUGGGGAAUAUUGCACAAUGGGCGGAAGCCUGAUGCAGCAACGCCGCGUGCGGGAUGACGGCCUUCGGGUUGUAAACCGCUUUCGCCUGUGACGAAGCGUGAGUGACGGCAAUGGGUAAAGAAGCACCGGCUAACUACGUG